UACGGAGGGAGCUAGCGUUGUUCGGAAUUACUGGGCGUAAAGCGCGCGUAGGCGGCGCGGUAAGUCGGGUGUGAAAUUUCGAGGCUUAACUUCGAAACUGCAUUCGAUACUGCCGUGCUUGAGGACUGGAGAGGAGACUGGAAUUUACGGUGUAGCGGUGAAAUGCGUAGAUAUCGUAAGGAAGACCAGUGGCGAAGGCGGGUCUCUGGACAGUUCCUGACGCUGAGGCACGAAGGCCAGGGGAGCAAACGGG
RNAcentral lists this ribosomal RNA (253 nucleotides) under uncultured bacterium. RNAcentral's name for it is "partial 16S ribosomal RNA". It matches the Rfam family "Bacterial small subunit ribosomal RNA", at positions 524 to 776 of the family's 1533-position model. The record is from RNAcentral.